GAUGAAGAACGCAGCGAAAUGCGAUAAGUAAUAUGAAUUGCAGAAUUCAGUGAAUCAUCGAAUCUUUGAACGCACAUUGCGCCCGCCAGUAUUCUGGCGGGCAUGCCUGUCUGAGCGUCAUUUCAACCCUCAUGCCCCUAGGGCGUGGUGUUGGGGAUCGGCCAAAGCCCGCGAGGGACGGCCGGCCCCUAAAUCUAGUGGCGGACCCGUCGUGGCCUCCUCUGCGAAGUAGUGAUAUUCCGCAUCGGAGAGCGAUGAGCCCCUGCCGUUAAACCCCCAACUUUCCAAGGUUGACCUCAGAUCAGGUAGGAAUACCCGCUGAACUUAAGCAUAUCAAUAAGCGGAGA
RNAcentral lists this unclassified non-coding RNA (347 nucleotides) under soil metagenome. RNAcentral describes it as "partial contains 5.8S ribosomal RNA, internal transcribed spacer 2, and large subunit ribosomal RNA". The stretch from base 1 to 120 matches the Rfam family "5.8S ribosomal RNA", at positions 35 to 154 of the family's 154-position model. The record is from RNAcentral.